CGCCGCCACCUCCGUAGAAGCCCGACAACUCCAUCGUCGAGAACUGUCGUGGAACAAGAAACAUACAUUUUUCCAUCUCUUUUCGAACGAGCUACUUUCUGUGAGUAUAUAUUUCUGAGGUGCGGACUAGUUUCUCGAUUGGGUACUGCUCGUUCCCGGAAAUCACUACGGUUUUUGUUAUGGCGAUGUAAGAGUUGCGGUUAGUGGAGAGUUUUGGCGGUGUUGAGAGCAGAGAAUUGAGGUGGACAGACAUAUCGGGGACUAUUUUUCAUUA
Long non-coding RNA from Frieseomelitta varia, 274 nucleotides. RefSeq lists it as uncharacterized. The transcript has 2 exons. The record is from RefSeq and is a predicted model, not a curated record. Lineage: Eukaryota; Metazoa; Arthropoda; Insecta; Hymenoptera; Apidae.